GACUCGUGAACAAAAAAUGAUUGGUGUGGGAGCCGAAAACACACGGCAACAACAUCGUUCCCAAACGCAGGCACGGACGGGGUUCGAACCCGCGAUCUUCGGUUUACGAGACCGACGCCUUACCACUUGGCCACCGCGCCUGACAGCCGAGCUGCCGGUGGAAGCUCUCAGUGGAGGGGAGUGGUGCGGGCGGGGAGGUGGGCAGGCCCCGCCCUCUCGCCCAGGCUCCGCCUCUGCACAAAGCCCACCCACCAAACGGCUCUGACUGACGCGUCCGGUCCUCCUUCCGCUCGGCAUCAGGAUAGCGGGUAGUCCGGAUAGCUGGUGUUCGGGCUCUCUGACGAGCAACUAUCCUCUUCUCCCUCGCUCUGGGUCCGUGUCACUGAGCCGGGAGAGGCCGCAAAGAUGAGCGUGAACGUCUGCGUGCCCCCGGGGAACCAGCCGUGGACGGCGGGGACCGGGCACGGCGCGGAGGCCCGGACGUUUACAUCAUCAUUUAUUACUGGAGACCGAGGCUCGCGUAGCCCAGGCUGACUUCAGACUCUGUCGCUAAGGAUGCCGUGAACUAAGAGAUCUUCUUCUUCCAUCUGCCAAGGGUUGGGAUUUCAGGCGUGGGCCACGUUGCCCUUUUUACCGGAUGCUGGGGAUCGAACCCAUGAAUUCGUGCGUGCUAAAUUAACACAACUGAGACACAUCCCUAGAUCCUAGAUCUAUUAUUUAAAUUUUAAUUUAAAAAAGUGUUUAAAUUUUUAAUUAAAAAAAUUUUUAAGGAAAUUAGGUCCCUGAAUCCUAUGGCCAGCCACAGCAUCUGUUACGCGGAGAGGGUGGCCCUCCUCUUGGUGCAGAGCUGUGAUGCCAACAGGGCAGUUCAAGGUUCCACUUACCAGCCUUCUUAAGUGCACUCCUGUAAGUAGGACACCACAGCCCGGAAACACCCUCCAGAGGGCUCGUGGUAUUGCUGGCGCUGCUAUAACUAGUAAGUUCAUCCUUAUUUAUGGGUAUGACUGUUUUUAAAAAAGGUUUAUUUAUUAUGUAUACAAGCAUUUGGCCUGCAUGAAUGGCUGCAGACCAGAAGAGGACAUCAGAUCCCAUUACAGGUGGUUGUGAGCCACCAAGUGGUUGCUGGGAAUUGAACUCAGGACUUCUGGAAGAGCAGUUAGUGCUCUUAACCUCUAAGACAUCUUCUCCAGGCCCCCACGCCCCCACUCCCCCACUCCCCCACUCCCCCACUCCCCCACCCCCCUUUAAUAUAAAAUUGGGGAGGUUUGUAAAACCUAAAGAUAUCUUUAUGGAUAUAUGUUAAAAACACAAGAUUUGUGAUAACUGUGUUAAGUUUACAUACAGUGUUAAAAAUAUCCUAUAUAACACAACACUACAA
Molecule: long non-coding RNA, 1378 nt
Organism: Rattus norvegicus (Norway rat)
Lineage: Eukaryota; Metazoa; Chordata; Mammalia; Rodentia; Muridae
Source: RefSeq, a predicted model, not a curated record